GACGAACGCUGGCGGCGUGCCUAACACAUGCAAGUCGAGCGAAUGAAGUUCCUUCGGGAACGGAUUUAGCGGCGGACGGGUGAGUAACACGUGGGCAACCCGCCUCAUAGAGGGGAAUAGCCUUCCGAAAGGGAGAUUAAUACCGCAUAAGAUUGUAGUACCGCAUGGUACAGCAAUUAAAGGAGCAAUCCGCUAUGAGAUGGGCCCGCGGCGCAUUAGCUAGUUGGUGAGGUAACGGCUCACCAAGGCGACGAUGCGGAGCCGACCUGAGAGGGUGAUCGGCCACAUUGGGACUGAGACACGGCCCAGACUCCUACGGGAGGCAGCAGUGGGGAAUAUUGCACAAUGGGGGAAACCCUGAUGCAGCAACGCCGCGUGAGUGAUGACGGCCUUCGGGUUGUAAAGCUCUGUCUUCAGGGACGAUAAUGACGGUACCUGAGGAGGAAGCCACGGCUAACUACGUGCCAGCAGCCGCAGAAA
RNAcentral lists this ribosomal RNA (480 nucleotides) under uncultured bacterium. RNAcentral's name for it is "partial 16S ribosomal RNA". It matches the Rfam family "Bacterial small subunit ribosomal RNA", at positions 28 to 523 of the family's 1533-position model. The record is from RNAcentral.